GCCUUCGUGGUGUAAUAAAGCACACUCGACGCGUAUUCAAGAGAUCCCAGGUUCGAGUCCCAGCGAGGGCA
This is a non-coding RNA of Stegodyphus mimosarum, 71 nucleotides long. The record is from Rfam. NCBI's taxonomy places the organism in Eukaryota, Metazoa, Arthropoda, Arachnida, Araneae, Eresidae.